Molecule: unclassified non-coding RNA, 307 nt
Filed under: Cylindrospermum majus CCALA 998
Lineage: Bacteria; Bacillati; Cyanobacteriota; Cyanophyceae; Nostocales; Nostocaceae
Description: Cylindrospermum maius CCALA 998 16S-23S ribosomal RNA intergenic spacer
Source: RNAcentral
UUUAGGGAGACCUACCCACUCAGAUAUCGAACACAAUCAGUCAUUAGAUAUUGAGUUGGUCAUCCUAAGGUCGGUCGAGAUUGGUUGAAACUUUCAAAGUAUUAAUGGYUCGGUUAAUCARUGCUCAAAGCUAUCUCAAAUAUCUGGAUAUAUAAACUCAGCAACAAGGCUUAGGUGCCAGACUGCUGGGAGAGAAAACCAGCCAGAACCUUGAAAACUGCAUAGUGACGCGAAAAAAAAUGCAGGCAGACACAGACAUAAGUCAUGUUCGUGGAUGCUUUAAAGUGAAACACCAAAAUGUUUGRGU